UGCUGUUUAUCCUUCUCUAGUUUUUUUUUUCUUCUCUUUCCUCUCUCAAUUUUUUUUUAAAAAAUACCAAAUUGGAGGACGUAGGCCUUAUAGCAAACAGGAAAAACUGAAACUCAACAACAAUGAACUUUAUAUUCAAUAUUUUAUAGUCAUUUAUUAAGUUAUAAAACUUAUUUACUUUUUCUGCUGCGCCGAAAUUGUCAUAGUGUUUUGAUGGAUACACAAUUAGUAAGCCUUGUUAUAAUUUUAGUAAAUCUUGUUAUAAUUUUCGCUCCAGGCCUCCAAAAUCUCAGGACUGCCUCCAUUCCCUCCAUCUCCAAGCUCCAAUCCUCCGGUCACUUACUCGGCUUGCGUUUUGAUAUGAGAAGUGCCGGUUGUAUUUCUUUCGUGGGUCUUCACUCAUUUGUUGCCAAAAGGAAGUGUUGUUUUAGCAGAGAAUGACUUGAGGUCUGCAUAUACGAUCUAACCAAACAAGGACUUGAGGUCUUGAGCUAUCCGAACUGCAAACGAGAUCGGUAGUACCGUACACUCAAAGCUUCGGAGUCAUGUUUUAGUGCAAGAGGUAGAAUUGUAUCUGAGAGAAGGGCCAACUUGAGUCCAAAUACAAUAGAGGCAUUGAUUUGCUUGAAAGAUUGGAGUUUGGCAAAAUCAAGGAUGCAAGAGGCUCAGCGUGAAGUGCAGCUAGCUGAAGAAAGGAGACUCAUUAGAGAAGGACGACCAGAUUGGAUGGGAAAUAGUGAAGAUAAAGCUGAAAAUGAAUCUGAUAAUGAUUCUGGAAAUGACUCUGGUGAAUAGGUGAGACAAGUUGAAUCCCAUGAGCUUUCAACCAAUCUCCAGCCUUAAUAUUCAAAACCUGACCUUGAAGAACCUGAGCUGCACUAUCAGAUUGUUACUGAUAUGGAUGCCAAAGUCAAACACAUGAUCAAACUCAUUGAAGAAGAUGCAGAUUCCUUUGCUAGAAAGGCAGAAAUGUAUUACAAAAAACGCCCAGAAUUAAUUAAAUUGGUUGAAGAGUUCUACCGAGCAUGGGGAAUGGUUUUGGACUUUUCGUAUAGUCGCCCAUUCCCUACACUUUGUAUUUUUUGUAUUUUUAUUUCAA
Long non-coding RNA from Rosa rugosa (rugosa rose), 1099 nucleotides. RefSeq lists it as uncharacterized. The transcript has 5 exons. The record is from RefSeq and is a predicted model, not a curated record. Lineage: Eukaryota; Viridiplantae; Streptophyta; Magnoliopsida; Rosales; Rosaceae.